GUGCACCAGUCGAGAAUCCUCCGCAAUGCGCGAAAGCGCGACGGGGUUACCCCGAGUGCCGUCCGCUGAGGACGGCUUUUGCCCAGUGUAGCCAGCUGGGCGAAUAAGGAGAGGGCAAGUCUGGUGUCAGCCGCCGCGGUAAUACCAGCUCUCCGAGUGGUGGGGACGCUUAUUGGGCCUAAAGCAUCCGUAGCCGGUCUGGCAAGUCCCUUGUUAAAUCCAACGAUUCAAUCGUUGGACUGCAAGGGGAUACUGCCAGACUAGGGGGCGGGAGAGGCCGACGGUAUUCCCGGGGUAGGGGUGAAAUCCUAUAAUCCCGGGAGGACCACCAGUGGCGAAGGCUGUCGGCUAGAACGCGCCCGACGGUGAGGGAUGAAAGCUGGGGGAGCGAACCGGAUUAGAUACCCCCGUAGU
RNAcentral lists this ribosomal RNA (414 nucleotides) under uncultured microorganism. RNAcentral's name for it is "bacterial SSU rRNA". It matches the Rfam family "Archaeal small subunit ribosomal RNA", at positions 330 to 745 of the family's 1478-position model. The record is from RNAcentral.